Dendroctonus ponderosae (mountain pine beetle) is the source of this 519-nucleotide long non-coding RNA. RefSeq lists it as uncharacterized. NCBI's taxonomy places the organism in Eukaryota, Metazoa, Arthropoda, Insecta, Coleoptera, Curculionidae. The transcript is spliced from 2 exons. The record is from RefSeq and is a predicted model, not a curated record.
AUACACAGCUCGCCCACUGAUGGAGGCUGUCACCGUUUCAAGGUGUCUAUGAAUUUUAAUACAGAGUUGGCAGCCGAUAGCUAGGUUUAUUAAACGCCACAUAAGAAGUUUUUACGUGAAUAAUAGUCGAUGUAUUCUAAAAUACAUCUUCCCCACACAAACAUAUGUGCAUAUACAGAAUAAAAUUCUUAAAACAGUGAUGAUUCUGAUGAAUUUCACCCACCCAAAUUUCAAAAUCACAUACCAUCAGGAUGCUCCUCAAUUCGAUUUACGAGGACCAAAAGCCAACAUAACACAAAACUGCAAUAUGUAUUUAUCAACAGACUAAAAUCCAGUUGAUAUUGUUAUGUUGUAGAACGACUGUAAAGUGUUGUAUUAUCGCUAGCAAAAAUACAUGGCGCUGUACACACUAAUAAUUAUACUCGGUUGAACAGAACUACUUCGACAUUAUUUGUUUUUGUAUGUGAAUGUAACAACGCAACCGAUUGAAUGACGUUAUUAUAUCGAUAUUAAUAAUGA